This 583-nucleotide small RNA is filed under the name Pongo abelii (Sumatran orangutan). RNAcentral describes it as "processed transcript". The record is from RNAcentral. Lineage: Eukaryota; Metazoa; Chordata; Mammalia; Primates; Hominidae.
AUCCAUGAGCGCCGCUGGCAGCCGGGGAGCCGCAGAAACCAGACUGGGGGCGAGCUGAGCACCUGUAGUCAAUCACACGCAGGUUCUAUCCUCUUCAUUUGCAAGCCACUGCUUUAUCCACGAGGGUGCUCCCUACUUAUGCCAGUGAAUUAAUUUUUGGCACAGAUCAGUCCUUCAUAUUUAUCUGGAUUUAGCUGGUAGCAUUUGUCUCCUAAGACUUGGUCACAAAGGAAUCCAUGUGACCUUCAGGCCUUCUGCUCUAAACUGGCAGGAGAUCCUGUUUCUACUCACAGCGUCCAAGGGUCUGGUGGCCGAGCCCUGAGGGGCGCUGUUGCUCCCAGGUGGCAGAAUUCAGCAUCAGAGAGCCACACAGCUGAAAGAGAUGGAUGGGUUGGGCAACAAGAACAAAACUCCGUCUCAAAAACAAACAAACCCAAAGUAUUUGAGCACCGUGAAGACUCCAUUCCACAGAACCCUCUGUGGGAGGACGUGCGGGCCUAGACCAACACUGAUUCGCUGAAAGGUUAGUUUGAAUAAGAGAUCUGACCUGACCGGCCCAACUGUACAACUCUUCAAGGAAAAU